RNAcentral lists this unclassified non-coding RNA (217 nucleotides) under Hevea brasiliensis (rubber tree). The record is from RNAcentral. Lineage: Eukaryota; Viridiplantae; Streptophyta; Magnoliopsida; Malpighiales; Euphorbiaceae.
GAAAUUGAUAAUGUGUGCUAUGUUUCGGACUAUUUUGUAAAUUGACCUCCAAUUCCGGAAAAAGUUCAUUUAAGUUUUUUUUUUAUAUAUACUUAGAGAAAUUGCAAAACUUAUAUUAUUACUAAUGAUGCAAUUAAAAAAAAUAGUAGAUAUAAUAAAUGUCAUAGCACAAAAAAAUAUUAUUUAGCUUUGGUUGGAGCUUGAAUUUGAAAUUUCA